RNAcentral lists this non-coding RNA (26 nucleotides) under Cricetulus griseus (Chinese hamster). Lineage: Eukaryota; Metazoa; Chordata; Mammalia; Rodentia; Cricetidae. The record is from RNAcentral.
CGUGCUCCGGGACUGGACCGCGUACG